GCCAAGUUCUCUGAUCUCUUACAUAGAAAACUGAAAACAUAGAGCAAAAACUAAAAAUGCUGGGUCUACAAUGAGGAGUAAUAUUGAAAGGGUCCUUUCAGCUAAUGUCAAACACACAUUUUUAAAAAUCCUUUAUUAACAUGUACUGCAAUCAUUAUAGUUAUCCUUUGGAUUUGAAUAGAAAUUAGAAUAAAAGACCAAUACUAAUAAUAAAAUGCAAGACCAAGACAUCCUUAAAAGUCAGACUCAUGUCUGAUCAGUAUAUCUGGCAGAAGACAUCGUGGCAAUCAUGCAAAAACUUGAGUUCAUCAUUUAAAAUUGAAAUGAAAAAUAAACAGCUAAAACUAGGGAGUUUUUGUACAUGUAAUGAAAACAGUCAUUUCACGAUCACACUUGAGAAACAUUCAAUUUUACAUUAAAGUAUGUUUUGGACAACUUCCUUUACAGCUCUUCCAGCCAGCGUGAGGGCCUCAAGCACAGGCGCAUGUUCCGCCAUUUUGUGCCUUGUCAGGAGGAGGCACCUUGGGGUCCUUCGCAGCCAUCCCUGUUUUUCCUUCUGCAAGGAACACAAGUCAAGGCUUAACACAUUUGGAGUACACAGCAGGAAUAGUGAAACGGUUGAAGGGGGAGAAUAAAGGAGUUUGUCUUGGCACAGCAGAACUCUAUGAAUCACCUUUUUGCAGGAAAAGAAGCUGAAACUUUAACUUUUAGUGCAUUUAACAAUGUAAGUGACAGGUUCUUGUACUGCAUGAGAAAAAUGAACUGGGGACAUUAAAAUACCAUUACCACUAUGAUUUCCUCGAUCUUCUGCUCCAUAUGAAGUCUCUUCUAGGCAGCUAGUGAUGACCCAUUUCAGGAAUCACACAAUUCUCUGAGAGCAUUUAAAAUCAGCUCUCAUUUUUUGAGAACUUUUUGUGAGAGCAGCAUCUCUUCUCUGGACUGAAAGAAAACACUGUUCCACUUGUGAUUUUUUCGUUUCUGCAAUAGCCUCCACAUUCUCUGGCCUCCAUACCUGCUGCAGAGAUCUUCAGAGUCUCAUUCCUGGUCUCAUUCCUUAUUACUUUAUUCUCCACAGUAACUUCAUUUUGGAUUUUACACAGUGACGUGGCAUCAGUGUGGAUAGAAUAUGUGUCUCCCUCAGCUCUUUUCAUCAGCCUGUCAUGGUUCUUUCACCUAUAUAACAUCAGCAUGCCAUCCUACUCUUCAAUAUUUCAACUACAGGAUCACCUAGAGUGGCAAAAAUACACAAAUGCCUGCAAGUCCUGACCUGAUCUCUGACUGUAGUUCAAGUGUGGUGAGAUCACUCCUCAGCUCUUUAACUUGAGCUAAAAGACUGGAUUCAACACAAGUUUGGUUGUCUCUCACUUUCUUAUGGGGGCAGUAUCUCAAAAGUCAGAAGUGUGAGUGAUUUGCAAGACACGGACAAAAACAGGCUGCAAUGGCAGGGAGUGUGAUGCCAGAGCAACCAAAAGAAGUGGAAAGACUGGUCAGGCCUCCUGAGCCCUGGAGCCAGUUGGAGGAGGUACACAAAACAAACAUUGCACAAAGCUGGGCAGAACAAAGUAGUUAUGAAACCAAGGUAAGGAGAAGAAGACCAGAAAACUAACUGGUUAGAAUAUGGCUGUCUCUUCUGAUACUAAUUCAGAAAUGAAGCACUGAAGCUAUUUUUUUCAUUUACUUUCUUUUCAUUUUAUGGAAAACUCCAUGAAAUGAGGUGCAUCAGCAAGAGCAAAAAUUUGCACUGCUUCUUGGGGAGUGUUUGAAAUUAGUAACAAUUUCAAAAACAGGGCUGAAACCUGCUGUGUGUCAGAUUUCACACUGAAGAAUAUGCUGAAGAUCGAAACCUAAUCUGGUCAAGCCCACUGGGCUUAAUGCCUACAAUUCAGGUGAACCAAGAUGAAUUUGGUAUUCCUGGAAUGACUGUAGUCUCAAAUAAA
RNAcentral lists this long non-coding RNA (1937 nucleotides) under Numida meleagris (helmeted guineafowl). RNAcentral's name for it is "lncRNA (ENSNMEG00000019091.1)". The record is from RNAcentral. Lineage: Eukaryota; Metazoa; Chordata; Aves; Galliformes; Numididae.